UACGUAGGUGGCAAGCGUUGUCCGGAUUUACUGGGCGUAAAGGGCGUGCAGGCGGUCUGUUAAGUGCAGGGUGAAAGCUCCCGGCUCAACUGGGAGAGGUCCUUGCAUACUGGCGGACUUGAGGGGGGUAGAGGAAAGUGGAAUUCCCGGUGUAGUGGUGAAAUGCGUAGAGAUCGUGAGGAAGACCCGUGGCGAAGGCGGAUCUCUGGACGGCUAAAACUGACGCUGAGGCGCGAAGGCCAGGGGAGCAAACGGG
RNAcentral lists this ribosomal RNA (256 nucleotides) under uncultured bacterium. RNAcentral describes it as "partial 16S ribosomal RNA". It matches the Rfam family "Bacterial small subunit ribosomal RNA", at positions 524 to 776 of the family's 1533-position model. The record is from RNAcentral.